GACGAACGCUGGCGGCGUGCUUAACACAUGCAAGUCGAACGGAAAGGCCCUGCUUUUGUGGGGUGCUCGAGUGGCGAACGGGUGAGUAACACGUGAGUAACCUGCCCUUGACUUUGGGAUAACUUCAGGAAACUGGGGCUAAUACCGGAUAGGAGCUCCUUCUGCAUGGUGGGGGUUGGAAAGUUUCGGCGGUUGGGGAUGGACUCGCGGCUUAUCAGCUUGUUGGUGGGGUAGUGGCUUACCAAGGCUUUGACGGGUAGCCGGCCUGAGAGGGUGACCGGCCACAUUGGGACUGAGAUACGGCCCAGACUCCUACGGGAGGCAGCAGUGGGGAAUAUUGCACUAUGGGCGGAAGCCUGAUGCAGCAACGCCGCGUGCGGGAUGACGGCCUUCGGGUUGUAAACCGCUUUCGCCUGUGACGAAGCGUGAGUGACGGUAAUGGGUAAAGAAGCACCGGCUAACUACGUG
RNAcentral lists this ribosomal RNA (468 nucleotides) under uncultured bacterium. RNAcentral describes it as "partial 16S ribosomal RNA". It matches the Rfam family "Bacterial small subunit ribosomal RNA", at positions 28 to 507 of the family's 1533-position model. The record is from RNAcentral.